Long non-coding RNA from Dreissena polymorpha, 266 nucleotides. RefSeq lists it as uncharacterized. The record is from RefSeq and is a predicted model, not a curated record. NCBI's taxonomy places the organism in Eukaryota, Metazoa, Mollusca, Bivalvia, Myida, Dreissenidae. The transcript has 3 exons.
GGAAAAACGCGAUGUUGCCGAUUCGUUUGACCGAAAGUGCAGUUUUGACUACGACUGUCCCGGUGUCAAGAAAUGCUGUUUAAAGGGUCGCGGUAACCUAUGCCUGACAUCAACACGUAAAACUUGCACGAGAAACGGAAUCAUCUAUAAAGAAGGUGAAAGUGUGCCACCAAACGGCAAAUGUCAAACGGGCUGCAAGUGUCAAGCUGGUGAAGUGAAUUGUUUGCUAAUACCUUGUUUUCCGGAUGAGCGUGACAUUCCCCUGG